Molecule: ribosomal RNA, 456 nt
Filed under: uncultured Sphingobacteriales bacterium
Lineage: Bacteria; Pseudomonadati; Bacteroidota; Sphingobacteriia; Sphingobacteriales
Description: bacterial SSU rRNA
Rfam family: Bacterial small subunit ribosomal RNA
Source: RNAcentral
CACAAGCGGUGGAGCAUGUGGUUUAAUUCGAUGAUACGCGAGGAACCUUACCUGGGCUCAAAUGUAUGUUGACGUAUUCUGAAAGGGAUACUUCUUCGGACAAUAUACAAGGUGCUGCAUGGUUGUCGUCAGCUCGUGCCGUGAGGUGUCGGGUUAAGUCCCAUAACGAGCGCAACCCCUAUCAUUAGUUGCCAUCAGGUCAAGCUGGGGACUCUAAUGAAACUGCCUACGCAAGUAGUGAGGAAGGCGGGGAUGACGUCAAAUCAGCACGGCCCUUACGUCCAGGGCUACACACGUGCUACAAUGGCCGAUACAGAGGGCAGCUACCUGGUGACAGGAUGCAAAUCUCCAAAGUCGGUCUCAGUUCGGAUCGGAGUCUGCAACCCGACUCCGUGAAGUUGGAUUCGCUAGUAAUCGCGCAUCAGCCAUGGCGCGGUGAAUACGUUCCCGGGCCUU